GCUUUUGAGUAGACAGGGAAGAAGGAGGCGUUCCCUACACGCCCAUUUAACUCCCACCAGCCAAUGAUGAAGCAGCAUUCACAUCCACCUGGCAGGUACGAGCUCUCUCCCUCCUCGUCCAAUCAGCAGCGCUCAGUGUGAGCACAGAGAGGUCAAGACUUCAGAGGAUGUGACUCACUCACAAUCCUGGAUGACUAGUCUGAAAGAAGGAGGGGGGUUGGAGAGAGAACAUGAGAUGUUCCUUUU
Molecule: long non-coding RNA, 246 nt
Organism: Sebastes umbrosus (honeycomb rockfish)
Lineage: Eukaryota; Metazoa; Chordata; Actinopteri; Perciformes; Sebastidae
Exons: 2
Source: RefSeq, a predicted model, not a curated record